AAAAUUAAAGGUCUAAUCUGCCCAAUGAUAUUUGAAUGGCCGCGGUAAUUUGACCGUGCAAAGGUAGCAUAAUAAUUAGUCUUUUAAUUGAAGGCUUGUAUGAAAGAUUGGAUGAAAAAUAAACUUUAUUAAUAUAAAUUAUUUAACUUAUCAUUUAAGUAAAAAUUCUUAAAUAUGUAAGUGGGACGAGAAGACCCUAUAGAGUUUUAUUUUCAUUUAUAUUAUUAAAUUAAAGAAUUAGUAUUUUUAUAAUAUAAAUGAAUUUUUUAUUGGGGUGAUAUUAAAAAUUUAUGAACUUUUAAUUAAUAUAUCAUUAAUGUAUGUAUUUUGAUCCAAAAUAUUUUGAUUAUAAGAUAUAAUUACCUUAGGGAUAACAGCGUUAUUAAUUUGAAYAGUUCUAAUCGAUAAAUUAGUUUGCGACCUCCAUGUUGGAUUAAYAAUAAAUUUUAAAGUAGCAUUUAAAAUUAUGGGUCUGUUCNACCUUUAAAUUCUUACG
Molecule: ribosomal RNA, 496 nt
Filed under: Platypleura longirostris
Lineage: Eukaryota; Metazoa; Arthropoda; Insecta; Hemiptera; Cicadidae
Description: partial 16S ribosomal RNA
Source: RNAcentral